Molecule: long non-coding RNA, 1398 nt
Filed under: Crocodylus porosus (Australian saltwater crocodile)
Lineage: Eukaryota; Metazoa; Chordata; Crocodylia; Crocodylidae
Description: lncRNA (ENSCPRG00005014991.1)
Source: RNAcentral
AUUUUUGUCUUUUCAACAUGUUGAAAUACUGAUUUGCAGAUAGGUGGUUCUGACUUCAGUUGACCAACCAGAAACUCAUGUGCAAUAGCAGAGCGAACAGAUUGUCAACUAUUUGGAGACAGAGACUGUCUUAUGUAUACAUACAGUGCCUAGCAUAUGGGAAUCUGGAUUUCAGAUGGAGUCUUUAAAAAGUGUGUGCUCUCUCUCUCAAGAAUUACAGAUCUCUAAAUAUCCAAGUUGGGACUGUUCAGCUGUUGGCCCAUGGCCAUAUGCAGCCCAUGAAGAGAUGAUUUGCAGCCCCUGGUCUUGUCUUGACAGAGGCUUUCCUCACUGCUGCAGCCAGGAUCGCCAGGCUCCCCCUCCUGUCUCUCUCUCACUUUCGGCUCCUGCAGGGCAGGGUAGGGUGGCACAGCUCGGUAUAGCCUUUAGUGCCAGGGAGCUCAUAGCACAAUACAGUGGAGGAGCCUGCAGCCAAGGAGGUUGGAGGGUGGGGCUGGCCUAUCUGCCUGCAUGGUGCAACCAUGGGGGGAGCUUCCUGCUUAUGCAUGUAGUGCAGUAGUGGGAAGGGGGGGGUGCCAAGGGAGCUUGAACCUGGGAAAGUGAAGAGGAGCUGUAGCCCCUACUAUGUGCAGCCCCAGGCCACCAAGCGUUGUACAGCCCUAACCGAAGUGAUUCCUGUAAUAUGGUCUGAGUUCUGGUGGUGCUGGGAGGGGGGUUACAGGGGAGCUAUGGUGAAUUUUGGAGUAGUUGCAGCCCGCCCCCUACCUCCAUAGCCCCUCUCUCAGUGCCACUGCCUCCCGCCCUGAGUGCAGCCCAGCUCAGACCCCCCACCAGGAAGAGCCCAGCACAGCCCCCAGUCCACAGCAGUAGCCUGCCCUUUCCCUGUGUGCAGAUCUGGGGGACAUACCCCACUAUGCCUUCCCAAGGUAUGCGCAGGGGUGGGAGCUGCCUGCAUCCCCCGGAUGAACUGCUUGUAGCUCUGUCCCGCACCCCGCCCUGGCUGUGCAAUGCCUGCCUCUACCCCAGCCCUACUCCCUCACUUCUGGGGCCUUGAUCUGCCCCUCCCCAUCAUGCCUGUUCACUCCCUCCUGUUAAUGUUAACAUUAAAAACAAGAAAAAAUGUAAAGGGGUAUGUGAGAUGAAACUUUGAGACGAGGGGUACACUUGUUAAAAAAGGUUGAAAACCUCUGCUUUAUCAUACUGGGGGGCCUUGUUAUGUUCAGCCUUGUAUUAGAUACCAUGGCGAGCAGGCAUAUCUCUACCUCAUGUUAUUUUAUACCAGGGGUCAUGGUUUCUUUUCAUUGUAGAAAAGAACCUGUUACCACUAUCAGUGGGAAUCUAGGGAACAUAGUAGAGGUACCUUAAAUAGAACAAAAUAAAGGUAAAAUAGAGCAUGCA